AUGCACACGGGCAGGAGGUUUCUUGGAUGUGCUAAGAAGGAAGGCAUAAACUGUGGAGUAGUUCAAUGGAUUGAUUUUGAAUGGCCAGACUCAAUGGAGAAGGCAUUGGCCAAGCUAUGGGAUAUGUAUGAGGAGACUAAGUCAGCUAGGACCAAUGACAAUCUAGAGAGUUCCUUUGCAAUUCACAACCUGACAGAAGAGAAGAAGAAACUACAGGAGAACUAUGACAGUUUGUAUGCUGAUGUGAAUGCUCUUUUGAAUGCCCGACAGGAGAGGGGUGUGGAGUUAACCAAUCAAAAGGAGCAGAAGCAAUAUCUUGAAGUGAAGAUUGCUGAGCUUGAAACUGUAGUUGGCAACUUGAAGGCAGAGUUGUCAAAGAAAAAGGACGAGAAGAAGAAACUACAGGAGAACUAUGACAGUUUGUAUGCUGAUGUGAAUUCUCUCUUGGAUGCCCAGCAGCAGAGGGGUGUGGAGUUAAACAAUCAGAAGGAGCAGAAGGAAUAUGUUGAUGUGAAGAUUGUUGAGCUUGAGACUGUAGUGGGGAACUUGAAGGCAGAGCUGUCAAAGACAGAGGAGGAGGAGAAGAAGAUGCUGCUAAUGAAGGAAAUAUGCCCUAGAGACAAACAGAGUGUCACUAGUAUGCCUCUACUUGACUAG
This 657-nucleotide ribosomal RNA is filed under the name Triticum aestivum (bread wheat). Its description in RNAcentral is "partial small subunit ribosomal RNA". The record is from RNAcentral. Lineage: Eukaryota; Viridiplantae; Streptophyta; Magnoliopsida; Poales; Poaceae.